Larimichthys crocea (large yellow croaker) is the source of this 835-nucleotide long non-coding RNA. RefSeq lists it as uncharacterized. Lineage: Eukaryota; Metazoa; Chordata; Actinopteri; Sciaenidae. The transcript is spliced from 3 exons. The record is from RefSeq and is a predicted model, not a curated record.
CAGUCUAAAGCUGCUUUCCACAGUCUGCAGGUGGAGGCGGGCUGCAGGCUGGUGGCAGAGGCAGGUAGGUGGAGGGUCAGUCAAAGCUGCUUGCCAGAGGCAGUAGGUGGAGGCAUGCUUCAGGCUGGUGGAAGAGGCUGUUAGAUGGAGGGUCACUCAAAGCUUCUAGCCACAGUCUGCAGAUGGAGGUGGGCUGCAGGCUGUUGGCAAAGGCAGGUUGGUGGAGUUUCAGGGUACAGCUGUUUGCCACAGUCUGCAGGUGGAGGCGGGCUGCAGGCUGGUGGCAGAGGCAGGUAGGUGGAGGGUCAGUCAAAGCUGCUUGCCAGAGGCAGUAGGUGGAGGCAUGCUUCAGGCUGGUGGAAGAGGCUGUUAGAUGGAGGGUCACUCAAAGCUUCUAGCCACAGUCUGCAGAUGGAGGUGGGCUGCAGGCUGUUGGCAAAGGCAGGUUGGUGGAGUUUCAGGGUACAGCUGUUUGCCACAGUCUGCAGGUGGAGGCGGGCUGCAGUCUGGUGGAAGAGGCUGGCAGGUGGAGGGUCAGGGUACAGGUGCUUGCCACAGUCUGCAGGUGGAGGUGGGCUGCAGGCUAGUGCCAGAUGCUGGCACGUGGAGGGUUAGGGUACAGCUGCAGGCUGGUGUCAAAGGCUGGUAGGUGGAGGGUCAGUCAAAGCUUCGUGCCAGAGUCGGCAGCUGGAGACAGCCUUAUGGCUGGAGGCAGAGUCUGGCAAGUGGAGGGACAGGCUACAGUUGACUGCCAGAGUCUGCAGGUGGAGGUGGGCUGCAUGCUGUUGGCAGAGGCUGGUAGAUGGAGGGUCAGGCUACAGCCUGCUGCCAGAAU